UACGGGGGGGGCAAGCGUUGUUCGGAAUUACUGGGCGUAAAGGGCUCGUAGGCGGCCAACUAAGUCGGAUGUGAAAUCCCCAGGCUCAACCUGGGAACUGCAUCCGAUACUGGAUGGCUUGAGUCCGGGAGAGGGAUGCAGAAUUCCAGGUGUAGCGGUGAAAUGCGUAGAUAUCUGGAGGAAUACCGGUGGCGAAGGCGGCAUCCUGGACCGGCAUUGACGCUGAGGAGCGAAAGCUAGGGGAGCAAACGGG
Molecule: ribosomal RNA, 253 nt
Filed under: uncultured bacterium
Lineage: Bacteria
Description: partial 16S ribosomal RNA
Rfam family: Bacterial small subunit ribosomal RNA
Source: RNAcentral